CUGGAUAACACCUGGAAACAGAUGCUAAUACCGGAUAACAACAGAUGAUGCCUAUCAACUGUUUAAAAGAUGGUUCUGCUAUCACUCUUGGAUGGACCUGCGGUGCAUUAGCUAGUUGGUAGGGUAACGGCCUACCAAGGCGAUGAUGCAUAGCCGAGUUGAGAGACUGAUCGGCCACAUUGGGACUGAGACACGGCCCAAACUCCUACGGGAGGCAGCAGAC
RNAcentral lists this ribosomal RNA (223 nucleotides) under uncultured Lactobacillus sp. RNAcentral describes it as "partial 16S ribosomal RNA". It matches the Rfam family "Bacterial small subunit ribosomal RNA", at positions 139 to 354 of the family's 1533-position model. The record is from RNAcentral. Lineage: Bacteria; Bacillati; Bacillota; Bacilli; Lactobacillales; Lactobacillaceae.